CUUGUGAGCAGCCUGCCGGUUCAGUGUGUGGAUCAAGAACACAUCCAUGAGCUCCUGACUUAGUUGGAUGGAAACACACAAAUAUCCCCUGAGACAUUCUGCAGAAAGGCAGGUCAACAGCGUGGCUGCAAAAUUAUAUCAAGAACACAUCACAUCAAUUAUAUGCCAGUGGACCAAACAAAUAGUGAAUCCCUUCUGGCAUUGCUGUCAGCAUUCUGACAACCUGGAAGAUUUCAUGAUACGCUGGAGAGGUGUUUUAUAUCAUGUGGUAAACCAGCAUGAGUGGGGGAGAGAUCCAGAUGAAGAUGAAAAGAUGAACCAUUGGGACAAUGUCAGCAUGACUCUCUUGGGACAGAGCGUACUGCACAAUGGCUAGAGCCUGAAAGCCCUGCACAUGAAAAGUUAAGAGACAUUCUUCUGGAUUCCAAAUUUGUGGAGAAAAUACGGCUUUACUUGAGCUACAGGUAUCAUAGAAAGUUUAACAAGAAAAGUGGACGAUGGACAGUGGAGCGUAAAAAAGUGAAGAAAGAAUACAGAUACUUCAUACCAUUAAAGCGAAUGAUUUUGCUGCGUCGACUGACAGACUCCACCAGAUGAUGGACUACAUCACUAGGAGAUGAUGAUCCAAGAAACAUACAGCCCUCAAUUGCCACAUAUCCACCCCCAGACACAAGUCAGUUGAUAGAUGAAUGCCACUCCAGAUUUCUGCGACAGACACACAAUUUGGAGAACAAUGAGGUUUUGUUUUAGAUGAUACUAAGUUGAUCACUGAAAUCUCCCACAUUGUCAAAGUGAGAGCGGACUGCAGAUCACAGUUCUGUCAGUUGAAAGUUAUGUAUUUAUCACCUAUUACUAUUUAGACUUAGCCAAGAAUUGCAUUGCAGUGUGGUACAAGUUAAGUUAUUUCUGCUCAAGUUCUGAUAAUCGUUUGCUGUAUUACAGUUGUAUUUUGAAAUGCUUAUGUCAUUCAAAACCAGGAAUGCACAGGGUUAUUGCACAUGCAUUACGCCACAGUUUGACUGUAUUUCUGACUCAAAGGUAGUUCAUGCAUUUAGUGACUUUGAGUGUUGAUUUUCCAUUAAGGUCUCAUACAUGCAUUAUUACUUUGGUACAUGAAAG
This is a long non-coding RNA of Protopterus annectens (West African lungfish), 1119 nucleotides long. RefSeq lists it as uncharacterized. The record is from RefSeq and is a predicted model, not a curated record. The transcript is spliced from 4 exons. Lineage: Eukaryota; Metazoa; Chordata; Ceratodontiformes; Protopteridae.